GACGAACCGAGCGAACGUUGUUCGGAAUCACUGGGCUUAAAGGGCGCGUAGGCGGGCUAUCACGUCCGGGGUGAAAUCCUCCAGCUUAACUGGAGAACGGCCUCGGAUACUGAUGGUCUCGAGGGAGGUAGGGGCACGCGGAACUGUGGGUGGAGCGGUGAAAUGCGUUGAUAUCGUGAGGAACGCCGGUGGCGAAGGCGGCACGCUGGACCUCUUCUGACGCUGAGGCGCGAAAGCCAGGGGAGCAAACGGG
RNAcentral lists this ribosomal RNA (253 nucleotides) under uncultured bacterium. RNAcentral's name for it is "partial 16S ribosomal RNA". It matches the Rfam family "Bacterial small subunit ribosomal RNA", at positions 524 to 776 of the family's 1533-position model. The record is from RNAcentral.